Molecule: ribosomal RNA, 253 nt
Filed under: uncultured bacterium
Lineage: Bacteria
Description: partial 16S ribosomal RNA
Rfam family: Bacterial small subunit ribosomal RNA
Source: RNAcentral
UCCAGAGGUCUCAAGCGUUGUUCGGAUUCAUUGGGCGUAAAGGGUGCGUAGGCGGCGCGGUAAGUCGGGUGUGAAAUUUCGAGGCUUAACUUCGAAACUGCAUUCGAUACUGCCGUGCUAGAGGACUGGAGAGGAGACUGGAAUUUACGGUGUAGCGGUGAAAUGCGUAGAUAUCGUAAGGAAGACCAGUGGCGAAGGCGGGUCUCUGGACAGUUCCUGACGCUGAGGCACGAAGGCCAGGGGAGCAAACGGG